Molecule: small nuclear RNA, 102 nt
Organism: Suncus etruscus (white-toothed pygmy shrew)
Lineage: Eukaryota; Metazoa; Chordata; Mammalia; Eulipotyphla; Soricidae
Source: RefSeq, a predicted model, not a curated record
UCGCUUUGGCAGCAAAAUACUAAAAAUUGGAACAAAUCAGAGAAGUUAGCAUGGCCCCUGCACAAGGAUGGCACGAAAAUUCGUGAAGCAUUCCAUAUUUAA